Molecule: long non-coding RNA, 1344 nt
Organism: Paramacrobiotus metropolitanus
Lineage: Eukaryota; Metazoa; Tardigrada; Eutardigrada; Parachela; Macrobiotidae
Exons: 3
Source: RefSeq, a predicted model, not a curated record
UUCAUUUAUCCUCCGUGGAGUGAAUGGUCGUCGUGCUCGAAACCGUGUGGACAGGAUAUGGGUAUCGCAAUCGGACGCUUGCAGAUAACCUUCCAGUAAUGAAUGGAGAAUUCUGUACCAAACCGGCUUUUGAAGUAGCCCAGUGCAAUCGUAAAAAAUGCGGUUUACGAGAAAAGACUGAAUUUGCUGGAGACUGGAGUUCAUGGUCGUCUUGCUCUCGUUCGUGAAUGCGACGCCGCCAGUGUAUGAUUGUUAGCGUACAGAGUACCUGACUAACGGAUUCUGUUGUAAUCCCACCUCCUCGCCCACAACCUAGAAGUGCUUGUCUGGAUGGAUCGUCUGAUUUGUGAUUUCCUGAAGCAUUGAACUGGCGAACUGCAGCGCUUCGAUGCCCAGUACGACAAAGACAAACUACAAUUACGCCAACGAAGCAUCCACUCCGGCGAUAUCCCGCUGCAGCUGAUCUUGUAGAAUAUAACAGUACGGCGUAUCGCGAUAAAGGAGCAAUCAGAAUAAAAAUGGAUCAUUAAUUUUGGAGCAAGAUGACCAUGACGAACAUUAUCUGAAUUCCGAAGUACCAUAGCUGCCACAACAAUAUCCCCCACGCAAUAUGUGUCAUCAAAUUCGACCAGUUACCGGCAGACUGUUGCCCAGUACCGGCGCCUGUCAAUACUUACUCGCCCACUUAUCAAGGAUGGAACACCAAUGUGAAUAAUUGUAUCCAAACCGAUCCAUAAUUCCACCUUUCCCGGCGUAUCAAGGUUACGACUUCGUCAACGCAACCGGUUAUCUUCUGCGUUUAUCCUCAAGUAAACCCAGGAGUGCAGACAUCGGUGUACUACCUGCCUUUGCCCGGCGAUUUCCGUGUACUGCGUCCGCCCGAGUAUGGACCACGAAAUGUGUCUGCCCGUAUGUGCAACCUGGACAGCUGAUGCAGGGAUGGGGUUCAGUGCUUCCUGCAUGGAGCGAAGCCGUAUAAUGUUCCCGACUACAAUUUUUUAAACUUUUGCUGGAUGUAUGAUUGUUUUGGUAGGAGGAAUUGUUGUAGCUCAAACUACGAGCUAUGUUGAAUACAAGUCUGAGAAACUGUACCCUGCACCGACAAUAUAUAAAGGAGGGGGACCGGCUGUCGUACCCAACACUGUCGCUGUUUGAGGAUUAGGGGCCGAAUCUAAGCCUUAAGUUUGGGAUACUCAUGGCAGGGAUUUUUGUUUUGUUCUGAUUGUGAUUUUUGCUGUAUUAGUGAUCAUUUAUUUUUAGACGUAUUUUUAGUACAAACGUGUCUGAUCCCCUUUUGGACUGUGUGUAGGAUUUUAGGGUGAACCGUUUUAUUUCCGGUGUCUU